CCCGGGCCGGCAUCAGAAGCGCUUCCCGCUGGAGCUGCGCCGCGUCUGAACCGGAGCGAUCAAUGCGAUCACACGCGCGCGUUCUUCCUGCCCACAGUCGACGGCACGUCACGCUCUCUUGCGUCAUCACGUCUUAAAGGCGCAGCCGCACAAACCCCGCUCCUCUGUUGUGGACGGUAGCUGCUGGAAGGGAUACAGCUGCGGCCGGAAGUUAACGAGAAUUAUUUAUAUUGUUUAUUAAAUUAAACAUUAUUUGCAUUUUAUUAACGACUUCCCCAGCCCAACACUCACACUGAUGGAAAAACAGCAAUUAUACUCAGUAUUAUUCAGAUUAUUUAUUAAAUUACCCAUUAAAUUGUAUUUUAUUAACAGUCUCGGCUGGGUCAGUUGGUGUUUCUGUGUGGAGUUUGCAUGUUCUCCCCGUGUUGGUGUGGGUUUCCUCCGGGUGCUCCGGUUUCCCCCACAGUCCAAACACAUGCGCUAUAGGGGAACUGAUCAACUACACUGACUGUAGUGUAUGAGUGUGUGUGUGUGUAUGGGUGUUUCCCAGUGAUGGGUUGCAGCUGGAAGGGCAUCCGCUGUGUAAAACAUGUGCUGAAUAAGUUGGCGGUUCAUUCCACUGUGGCGACCCCUGAUGAAUAAAGGGACUAAGCCGACAAGAUAAAUGAAUGAAUGAAUUUGAUUAAGUUGUACCCUACCCCAACCCUCACUGUGAUGUAAACAGUAUUUAUAGUGAAUAUUGUUCAUAUUAUUAGUCAUAUUACUCAUUAAUUAAUAUCUACCAAAGACAUUAAUAAAGAUAAUGAUAUGAA
This 812-nucleotide long non-coding RNA is filed under the name Danio rerio (zebrafish). RNAcentral describes it as "si:dkey-151j17.7 (ENSDARG00000105740.2)". The record is from RNAcentral. Lineage: Eukaryota; Metazoa; Chordata; Actinopteri; Cypriniformes; Danionidae.